This 73-nucleotide transfer RNA is filed under the name Actinomycetota bacterium. RNAcentral describes it as "tRNA-Asn". It matches the Rfam family "tRNA". Rfam says of the family: Transfer RNA (tRNA) molecules are approximately 80 nucleotides in length. Their secondary structure includes four short double-helical elements and three loops (D, anti-codon, and T loops). The record is from RNAcentral. Lineage: Bacteria; Bacillati; Actinomycetota.
UCCGGGGUAGCUCAAUCGGCAGAGCGUCCGGCUGUUAACCGGCAGGUUGCGGGUUCGAGUCCCGCCCCCGGAG